AGAAGUUUUUUUUCUAAGUUUUAUUCCACAGACACUGUGUUCUUGACAUUUUGUAAUCCGGAUUUCUCUAAUCUAUUCAGUAUUCAGCAUUUUGUUCUUGAUUUUGUUUACUGUUGUUCAUCCUGUUAUCAUCCUGCUGUUACAUUGUUGUUAUCAUGUUUUCAUCCUGUUCAACGUUUAUGUUCUCUCCAAUGAUGUCUGAGUAGUGAAUAGAUUUCUGAGGAUGGGUUAGAGUAGUGUAGAAUUCUCAGUAUGCUAGGUGAUUGAGUUUGAUUGAUAGAUCCCUUCUAGAUUAGUUGUUCUUAAUGCCUAUUGCUUUCUGAUCAACUAAAUUUGAGCCCAGACCUUUCCGCGCCCAAAAGUUGUUCGAUGAAAUGUCUGAACCACUAAUUCCAGAGAUUCGUGGCUCUGUACCAAGGUAUUGGUUGCAGGGAGCAUUUUGGCUUUAACUCGUUAAUUCGUAAUGCCUGUUAGGUUAGCUCUCGUCAAUGGUGAUUGAGUCUGGGACUAGGUUAACUUGAGGGUCUCUUUUGCGGUGGCACUUAGAUUUGGUUAAUGAACUUGUUGUCUAGGGAUAAUUUAUUGAGCAUGUCAAUCACCUGUAAACUGAGGAAACGAAACUACUCAAUUACCCCAUCCUCGGGAAUUCUUUAUCUGAUUGAUUUUAUUGUUUACUCUACUGCUGUUUACUGCAUCCUGUCAUUUGUUGCUUAGUUUCUACAAUUUUUUACUGUUACUCGACCUGAUACUCGACCACCCAGUUGUCUAGCAACAGACUGUGCAGUCGAGUAUCCCUGUUACAUUUUCUGUCUGUUACUCGACUUGUCACUCGACCACACCCAGUGCUCUGCAAAGAGCUGUGUUGGUCGAGUGAUUUCUUAUUUCUGUUUUCUACAUGUUCACUUAGGACUAUUAGAACACACCAAAAUCUGUUAUUGCUUGGCUUGACUUAGUGACUUCUGAUCACAUCUUGAUUGUUAGCAUCACACCCAUUUGGAUUGACAACCUAAAAUACUACAACGACAUGAUUGGUGUUUUAGGAUAAUUAACUGAAAAACCUAUUAUCAUUCAUCCAAAUCUUUGCCUUCUGGUUUUCUCUCUUCAUUUCUA
RNAcentral lists this small RNA (1110 nucleotides) under Arabidopsis thaliana (thale cress). Its description in RNAcentral is "ATSL274100". Lineage: Eukaryota; Viridiplantae; Streptophyta; Magnoliopsida; Brassicales; Brassicaceae. The record is from RNAcentral.